AAUUUGUUGAGGAGUCCCACAACAGGACGAAACGGCCGUCCAGU
Molecule: non-coding RNA, 44 nt
Filed under: Schistosoma margrebowiei
Lineage: Eukaryota; Metazoa; Platyhelminthes; Trematoda; Strigeidida; Schistosomatidae
Source: RNAcentral